Non-coding RNA from Capsicum annuum, 106 nucleotides. Lineage: Eukaryota; Viridiplantae; Streptophyta; Magnoliopsida; Solanales; Solanaceae. The record is from Rfam.
ACCUCGUGGUUAGGACAUUUCAUAAUCUUGUCCUUAAAUCUCCCCCAUGCUUUAUACAAAGGAUCCUUAUUGAGUUGACGAAAAUUUUUAAUUUCGUCACGCAACU